CUGUGCCCUGCUGCUGCUGCUGCUGCUGAAUCACUGCUGCAUUCAUCUAACCGCUCUACUGUUGACUGGAUUUACUCUUCACUCAACAUGACUAAACAUACAGUCAAAUUCUGUGUCAAGGUCCUCGGGAAUACUCUGGGUUCCCACGAAACCUUUGUGAACGAUCUCAGAUCCAACUUCCAGCAGGUGGAGGUCAUGAAGGAUAAUGAUGAUGUCAUCGUCAUCGCUUUUGUCCCCGUCGUGUCUCGAGCUGGAACUGACAUAGAAGCUGCUCUUAGCCAGAUUCCUGCUUCUCAACCGGCGGUUCUGGUGGUUCUCUUCCACACAAAUGAUCCAUAUUUCGUGGCUCCAAACAGCAGCCUGUGUGUGAACAGGGAGAACGUGAUCACUGUGGACUGCCUGUUUCAUGAAGACCUGGGUCUGCUGAGAUGUGAACGUAACGCUGAGGCUCUGAGAGCAGUAAAAGAUCAUUUGAGCAAAAAUGAUUCAUCUCCCCUGAUAGAACGCUCAUUCAAUCAACCACAGAGUUUACUGUGUUACCGGCUUGUGGAAUUGUGGCAGCACAGAUCAGUCAAAAUCGGCACUAUUAUCGGCAUUGUCACUAUUUUGAGUCUUCUUGUGAUCAUUCUUGGCAUAAGAGGUCUGAGUCCCAGCAACAACACAACAGCAGCACAGCCUCAUGCCACAGCAUCAGCACAUCCCAAAGGUGCAAUAGUGGUCCAGCCCAAAGAUGUAGCAGCAGUCCAGCCCAAAGAUGCUGUAAUGGUCCAGCCCAAAGAUGCAGCAGUGGUCCAGCCCAAAGAUGUAGCAGUGGUCCAGCCCAAAGAUGCUGCAGUGGUCCAGCCCAAAGAUGCUACAGUCCAGCCCGAGGAUCCAGCAGCAGCACAACCCAGAGAUGCAGCAGCUGCAGCAUAGCCAGUGACAGAGGUUCUCAGUAAAACCAGUAAUGAAUAUACUCUGCCUGUCCAAAAAAAAAAGAAGUUGCCACCAAAAAAAGGUCACAAGCACACAUUCACUGUGGCAUUGUUUUAAUAAGGUUCUGCAAUGUCGCAAGAUUUAUUUUAAUCCAGUGUUGCUGGAUUAAUUUUUCACCAAGAUCUUGCAGCAGCAUUG
This 1113-nucleotide long non-coding RNA is filed under the name Astyanax mexicanus (Mexican tetra). Its description in RNAcentral is "lncRNA (ENSAMXG00005007463.1)". The record is from RNAcentral. Lineage: Eukaryota; Metazoa; Chordata; Actinopteri; Characiformes; Acestrorhamphidae.